Topomyia yanbarensis is the source of this 754-nucleotide long non-coding RNA. RefSeq lists it as uncharacterized. Lineage: Eukaryota; Metazoa; Arthropoda; Insecta; Diptera; Culicidae. The record is from RefSeq and is a predicted model, not a curated record. The transcript has 3 exons.
AAUAAGAGGUUUGUCUUUUUGUCUGGAAGCUGCCAAAAACUCUGGCUGUGCCAGAUAAAUCUGGCAUAAUGGCAUCCCUGAUCACACCCUUUAUUUUUAUUUGUUUCUUUUGUUACAAUAUAUGCAACUCGAUGCAACAGGAAGCGACGGCUAAAACAAUAGCCCAAAUACAUCAGCAACAAGAAGGAAAACUACGCACAAGAAAAUAGCAAACCAAAAUCUCUCUACUAUCUAUUAAUUUUUUGCCUCCGAUUAUCCUCUAUGUAAUGUAUCUGAAACUUGUGGAACUAGUUAACAGCCGGCGCCUGCUUGUGAAAGAAACUGGUGUACUAUACGGACUAGCACAUGCGAACAGUUAGGCUUUGUAGGGUCUCAUCUUGACAGAGUCUAGAUGGGCGGAUGAACAUCUGCCAGAGUUCGGACUGAGAAAUGACAAUGAAAAUGAUGAAAUCUGCGAGCCUACAUCUAAAAUUUCCGGGAAUCAGAGGGAGAAGAUUCGUCUUGUUUGAUAUUUUCCCGGCAAAUGGAGUAUUCUAGCCGGAUCUGUAGGAAUUCUUAAAAAUGCACCGAUUAUGCUGAUGCUGGAAUGAAAAAUAACUGCAAGCACGCCAAAUGUAAUACUAGUGAAAAAGAUUCGCACCAAAGCUGUUACCUUUUCUGAUGACGAAGAGUUUGGAGAACCUCAUCAUGCACACCGAAGUGGUUACGAGCGCAUAAAAACAAACGAUGCACAAAAGUCUCUAUUCUUUUCAGA